UCCGGGAUCUGCUCCAGGGUGUCUUUCUCUGAUUGUUAAAUAUUUGGAAUGUCACUGCCAGUCUGGAUGAAUGGGGCCAUGGUGAGUGGUAGCAAAGGAGUAGCAAAACCUGAUGUGGAGACUGCAGAGGAUGGAGCAGGUGGGAUGAGACUGGAGGCAGAGGGGGAGUUAGGAGGCUCUGUGGUCAACAGCCCAGGGGGAAAAUCUGACCAUCUCAUUGCAGUUUGUUUCUUGGCAGCACUCCCUCCUCACCAGCGAUGAGAUCUGGGUGGGACAUCAGCCCCAUCUUUUUAUGGAUAGGGAAAUUGAGGCCAAGGAGACUGAGGUUUGCCACAUCACAGAGCAAGCAAGGACCAGAGCUGGGGCCCCCAGACUCCAGCUGAGGGCUUUCCUCACCAUGCACAUCCCCAGAGCUGGGUUGUUACAUGGCAUAUCCAGGUCAGGAGGAGGAGAGGAGAAGCGAGGAGGACCCGAAGACUGUUGGAAUGGAAGACUGUCAAAUGGAGACGGAACAUCUGGUCCUUGGGUGAGUCCGGGUCAACCUGGUUCUUGCUUGAAAGUAACAGAAAUGAACUGUGGUCAAUUUAAGCAAAAGGGCAUUGACUGGAAGUCUUUGAAGUUAUCCCAGACCCAGGAGGAGACAUUAGGACUGGCCUUAGGCACAGGCAGGAACUAAGAUGAUGAUGGUGAGCCCGGGAAACAGAAGGUGGUCUUGAGGCUGGCACAGGCUGGGGGUAUGCAGCUGUGGCCAAGGCUGACCUUCAGCCUCCUGCUCUGCCAGCAUCCCUCAAGAGUCACCUGGGAGGGGAACUGAGGCCCCAUGUCCACUCCCUGGCUGUGCUAGGGUCAGGAGAAAGAAAAGCUCAGCUUUCAGGCCAGAAAGUAGUUACCUGGAAUCUUCUUCCUGCUGAGACAAUACUCAAGGUGGGAGAGGUCACUCCCUGCCCCCACCCCUCAAAUCCGGGUGAUGUUAGAAAAUGGGCUUUGGGGAAUCAACAUCCAAUAAAUACUGGCUGGCUAGGGUUCUUCGGGCCUUCCCUUCUCCCUGGGGUCCCCCUCCACCCUGUACUCCCCAUCCCAGUCCCUGAGCGCUCUCCUCCCUCCCUCAAGUUCUCCCAGGGACAGUUUUUCAUUUCAGCUGCUGCAAUAUCUGCUCCGGCAAU
This 1163-nucleotide long non-coding RNA is filed under the name Homo sapiens (human). RNAcentral's name for it is "HSALNT0004961". Lineage: Eukaryota; Metazoa; Chordata; Mammalia; Primates; Hominidae. The record is from RNAcentral.